This 460-nucleotide ribosomal RNA is filed under the name uncultured bacterium. RNAcentral's name for it is "partial 16S ribosomal RNA". It matches the Rfam family "Bacterial small subunit ribosomal RNA", at positions 338 to 795 of the family's 1533-position model. The record is from RNAcentral.
CCUACGGGUGGCAGCAGUGAGGAAUAUUGGUCAAUGGGCGCGAGCCUGAACCAGCCAAGUCGCGUGAGGGAUGACGGCCCUGCGGAUUGUAAACUUCUUUUGUCAGGGCACAAAGUGCGGCACGUGUGCCUUUUUGAGUGUACCUUAUGAAAAAGCCUCGGCUAACUCCGUGCCAGCAGCCGCGGUAAUACGGAGGAUGCGAGCGUUAUCCGGAUUUAUUGGGUUUAAAGGGUGCGUAGGUGGGCUGGUAAGGCAGGUGUGAAAGGCCGGGGCUCAACCGCGGCCCUGCCGUUGAAACUGGCAGGCUGGAGUUGGGGAGAGGUAGGCGGAAUUCGCGGUGUAGCGGUGAAAUGCAUAGAUAUCGCGAAGAACUCCGAUUGCGAAGGCAGCGUACCGGACAGAAACUGACGCUGAGGCGCGAAAGCGUGGGUAUCAAACAGGAUUAGAUACCCGUGUAGUC